RNAcentral lists this ribosomal RNA (226 nucleotides) under uncultured bacterium. RNAcentral's name for it is "partial 16S ribosomal RNA". It matches the Rfam family "Bacterial small subunit ribosomal RNA", at positions 106 to 334 of the family's 1533-position model. The record is from RNAcentral.
GGGAGUAAUGUCUGGGAAACUGCCUGAUGGAGGGGGAUAACUACUGGAAACGGUAGCUAAUACCGCAUAACGUCGCAAGACCAAAGUGGGGGACCGUUCGGGCCUCAUGCCAUCAGAUGUGCCCAGAUGGGAUUAGCUAGUAGGUGGGGUAACGGCUCACCUAGGCGACGAUCCCUAGCUAGUCUGAGAGGAUGACCAGCCACACUGGAACUGAGACACGGUCCAG